GACACAGGUGCUGCAUGGCUGUCGUCAGCUCGUGUCGUGAGAUGUUGGGUUAAGUCCCGUAACGAGCGCAACCCUUGUCCUUAGUUACCAGCACGUUAUGGUGGGCACUCUAAGGAGACUGCCGGUGACAAACCGGAGGAAGGUGGGGGAUGACGUCAAGUCAUCAUGGCCCUUACGGCCUGGGCUACACACGUGCUACAAUGGUCGGUACAAAGGGUUGCCAAGCCGCGAGGUGGAGCUAAUCCCAUAAAACCGAUCGUAGUCCGGAUCGCAGUCUGCAACUCGACUGCGUGAAGUCGGAAUCGCUAGUAAUCGUGAAUCAGAAUGUCACGGUGAAUACGUUCCCGGGCCUU
RNAcentral lists this ribosomal RNA (353 nucleotides) under uncultured Pseudomonas sp. Its description in RNAcentral is "bacterial SSU rRNA". It matches the Rfam family "Bacterial small subunit ribosomal RNA", at positions 1031 to 1382 of the family's 1533-position model. Lineage: Bacteria; Pseudomonadati; Pseudomonadota; Gammaproteobacteria; Pseudomonadales; Pseudomonadaceae. The record is from RNAcentral.